Molecule: long non-coding RNA, 2297 nt
Organism: Pseudophryne corroboree (corroboree frog)
Lineage: Eukaryota; Metazoa; Chordata; Amphibia; Anura; Myobatrachidae
Exons: 3
Source: RefSeq, a predicted model, not a curated record
CACGCAGCUGCAGCACAGCCUCAUUAUACGUAUGUGGAGGCUGGGCUGACUGAACUGUAGGGGGAGCUGCAGAGUCACUUCACCCGGCCAGCUCCUCUCAGGCAGUUCCCAUGGGCCUUUGAGAGUUCAGAGGUCGGGUGAGGAAGUGUUUCUGCAGCAGGUCCGUGUCUGGCAUGCUGGAGGGGGGAUGGCUGAUCGGAGAACUCGGACAGACAGCUCCAGUGAUGAGGAGGGCACAGCUGCGGGCAGCCAGAAAACAAAGAGCCUUAUGUACACCUGGUGCGGAGGUGCAGCCCUGCCCCACCCCCAACCCGAUCGCAGGCCACGCCCAUGUUCCCCUGGACUACGCGGAGAACACCAGAGGAGCGGAACCCAUAACUUCUACUGAGGCCGUCCUGUGUGAGCUUGCAUGGAAGGAGCAACGGUGGCUGGGACCCGGGAGCUGCAUUAGAGGAGAGCCCCUGGACAGACACAGACAGCAGCCCCUGUACGGACACAGCCAGUAGCCCCUGGUUGGAAACAGCAGACCCUGGAGAACACUGAACCUAUGGACGGACAAUGCAUACUGCAACUAUCCGCAUUUAAGUCUUGUGUGUUACUCUGCAUCAGCCACUCUGUGUGCAAGCUACAAAAUAAUUGGACUGAUCUAUGGGAAUUAUUGAGGCAGUGAAGAGAUCGCAUCUGUCUGUGUUGUGGAGUAGGUGAAAAAGAGUUCAGCCCGCUGUUGACUCCUGCAGUGAAGUCAUUGGUCUUUCCUGACUUUACCUGAUUCUCCACAAAAAUCCCAAGUUCCACUGAGGGCUUGGCUUUGUUCAGGCAAGGUCAGGCUGCCUUUACUGUGUGAUCUUUCCCAACCUCCUCCACUACCUGUCGCCUCGCUAAACUGUGUGGAGAAACUUUGCAUCUGCAGAUACACAAAUUUGGUUUUAACAUCCUCGUUUUUAAUUUCUUUCAUGUCAUGCAAUGUGUGGCUAUAUUUACAAUCUUGUGAACACACUUCUGUCAACCCACAGGGAUAGUUUUAAAUUGGAUCUGUACAGAUGGUAAAAUACCGUUCACAAAAGUCACAACUGGAGUCUGAUAAAUCAGGUCUUCGCUUCCUGAAUGACUAAUCAGUGUUUCUGUUAAUCUCUCAAAAUAAGCUGCUAAUGACGCUUCUUUUACAUGUCUACAAGAACUUAUCCAAAACACAAUGUAUACUGAAUUUGAUAACGGAACGUACUAAGGGGCCCAUUUGCAAUGCGAUCUGGGCAUGAUAUUAGCGCCCACCAUAGCAUUGCAGAAUGAAGUCACGUCGGGUGAAAAUAUAACCUGGCACAGUCAGAGACAGGGUUCCAAAAGGAGCCCGUCCCUGUGAUGUGCGUAGUGCGAUGCAGGGGCUGCUGCGCAUGCACGGUCACGCUGACCGCCAUGCACAGUGGUCAUUUCCAAUGGAGGGUCCUGAGGAACCCUGCCGGAUCUACAGCCCCAAUCUUUAGCUCAUAGGCUACAACGCGCUACCGCAAUCUGAAGAUGGCAGUAACUGCGGGGACUAUAUAUUUGUGAAUCUGGCAGCAUCGCAUCCCCCAUGGAAACCUAUGAGGGAUGCAGCUGCUAGCGGGAAUGGAGGGAUCAUACAUUCAGGGGAUACUUACAGUCAGGGGCGUCUUAAGAGAGGAGGAGGCCCGUGUGCACACUCCGGGUGGGCCCCCUCCUCUCCACGGCGCUGCACGCUCCGGCAAUAUGCCGAAGUCUAUUGCGCAUGCGCAGAUCUCCCGAAACAUGGCGCAGUGGCCAUUUUUGAUGGUUUUUUUGGCCGCGACGGCUGCCGCUGCAACACCUGGCAGUGGACUUCGGACAGGUGAGUAUGAAAAUAUGGGUGCAAUGUGUGCUGUGUGGGCCCCCCCUGGACCCAGGCGCCCGUGUGCACCGCACACAUUGCACCAUGAUAGAAACGCCAGUGCUUACAGUAGUAUAUGCGGCUAACCCCUGAAAACUGUUGUAUGCGGGGGAAAUAGCCACAAAUAUUGGUUGCUAAAUGGGCCCCUGAUUCUCAUCUACUCCACUGACAUAUGCACAAUGUUGUUGUUUUUCUGUACAUACUGUACAUAAAGUCAAUCUCUGAAAUCUAUGUAUUCUUAUUCUGAGAAACGUGUUUUUUUGUUGGGCAUACUAUAACAUGACCAUUGCAGACAGUUUCUGUAGAUGUUAAUUGCUGUCUGAGAAUUUUCCUGGGGCACAAGACAAGUGGUGGAAAUGAAGCACAUUUUGAGAGCUACAAAUGACUGCAUGAAGGGCCUGAUUCAGGUUUGUAAGCA